Molecule: ribosomal RNA, 425 nt
Filed under: uncultured bacterium
Lineage: Bacteria
Description: bacterial SSU rRNA
Rfam family: Bacterial small subunit ribosomal RNA
Source: RNAcentral
GUGGGGAAUAUUGGACAAUGGGCGCAAGCCUGAUCCAGCCAUGCCGCGUGAGUGAUGAAGGCCCUAGGGUUGUAAAGCUCUUUCACCGGUGAAGAUAAUGACGGUAACCGGAGAAGAAGCCCCGGCUAACUUCGUGCCAGCAGCCGCGGUAAUACGAAGGGGGCUAGCGUUGUUCGGAAUUACUGGGCGUAAAGCGCACGUAGGCGGACAUUUAAGUCAGGGGUGAAAUCCCGGGGCUCAACCCCGGAACUGCCUUUGAUACUGGGUGUCUCGAGUCCGGAAGAGGUGAGUGGAAUUCCGGGUGUAGAGGUGAAAUUCGUAGAUAUUCGGAGGAACACCAGUGGCGAAGGCGGCUCACUGGUCCGGUACUGACGCUGAGGUGCGAAAGCGUGGGGAGCAAACAGGAUUAGAAACCCGAGUAGUCC